RNAcentral lists this ribosomal RNA (1606 nucleotides) under Salmonella enterica. RNAcentral's name for it is "partial 23S ribosomal RNA". It matches the Rfam family "Bacterial large subunit ribosomal RNA", at positions 1215 to 2803 of the family's 2925-position model. The record is from RNAcentral. Lineage: Bacteria; Pseudomonadati; Pseudomonadota; Gammaproteobacteria; Enterobacterales; Enterobacteriaceae.
UAUGCGUUGUUGGGUAGGGGAGCGUUCUGUAAGCCUGUGAAGGUGGCCUGUGAGGGUUGCUGGAGGUAUCAGAAGUGCGAAUGCUGACAUAAGUAACGAUAAAGCGGGUGAAAAGCCCGCUCGCCGGAAGACCAAGGGUUCCUGUCCAACGUUAAUCGGGGCAGGGUGAGUCGACCCCUAAGGCGAGGCCGAAAGGCGUAGUCGAUGGGAAACGGGUUAAUAUUCCCGUACUUGGUGUUACUGCGAAGGGGGGACGGAGAAGGCUAUGUUGGCCGGGCGACGGUUGUCCCGGUUUAAGCGUGUAGGUGUGUGUUCCAGGUAAAUCCGGUUCACUUUAACACUGAGGCGUGAUGACGAGGCACUACGGUGCUGAAGCAACAAAUGCCCUGCUUCCAGGAAAAGCCUCUAAGCAUCAGGUAACAUCAAAUCGUACCCCAAACCGACACAGGUGGUCAGGUAGAGAAUACCAAGGCGCUUGAGAGAACUCGGGUGAAGGAACUAGGCAAAAUGGUGCCGUAACUUCGGGAGAAGGCACGCUGACACGUAGGUGAAGUGAUUUACUCAUGGAGCUGAAGUCAGUCGAAGAUACCAGCUGGCUGCAACUGUUUAUUAAAAACACAGCACUGUGCAAACACGAAAGUGGACGUAUACGGUGUGACGCCUGCCCGGUGCCGGAAGGUUAAUUGAUGGGGUCAGCGCAAGCGAAGCUCCUGAUCGAAGCCCCGGUAAACGGCGGCCGUAACUAUAACGGUCCUAAGGUAGCGAAAUUCCUUGUCGGGUAAGUUCCGACCUGCACGAAUGGCGUAAUGAUGGCCAGGCUGUCUCCACCCGAGACUCAGUGAAAUUGAACUCGCUGUGAAGAUGCAGUGUACCCGCGGCAAGACGGAAAGACCCCGUGAACCUUUACUAUAGCUUGACACUGAACAUUGAGCCUUGAUGUGUAGGAUAGGUGGGAGGCUUUGAAGCGUGGACGCCAGUCUGCGUGGAGCCGACCUUGAAAUACCACCCUUUAAUGUUUGAUGUUCUAACGUGGACCCGUGAUCCGGGUUGCGGACAGUGUCUGGUGGGUAGUUUGACUGGGGCGGUCUCCUCCUAAAGAGUAACGGAGGAGCACGAAGGUUGGCUAAUCCUGGUCGGACAUCAGGAGGUUAGUGCAAUGGCAUAAGCCAGCUUGACUGCGAGCGUGACGGCGCGAGCAGGUGCGAAAGCAGGUCAUAGUGAUCCGGUGGUUCUGAAUGGAAGGGCCAUCGCUCAACGGAUAAAAGGUACUCCGGGGAUAACAGGCUGAUACCGCCCAAGAGUUCAUAUCGACGGCGGUGUUUGGCACCUCGAUGUCGGCUCAUCACAUCCUGGGGCUGAAGUAGGUCCCAAGGGUAUGGCUGUUCGCCAUUUAAAGUGGUACGCGAGCUGGGUUUAGAACGUCGUGAGACAGUUCGGUCCCUAUCUGCCGUGGGCGCUGGAGAACUGAGGGGGGCUGCUCCUAGUACGAGAGGACCGGAGUGGACGCAUCACUGGUGUUCGGGUUGUCAUGCCAAUGGCACUGCCCGGUAGCUAAAUGCGGAAGAGAUAAGUGCUGAAAGCAUCUAAGCACGAAACUUGCCCCGAG